This 928-nucleotide long non-coding RNA is filed under the name Rattus norvegicus (Norway rat). RNAcentral's name for it is "long non-coding RNA NONRATT001740". The record is from RNAcentral. Lineage: Eukaryota; Metazoa; Chordata; Mammalia; Rodentia; Muridae.
CAUUUUUCUUCAUGACCCAAGCAAGGAACACAUUUUUAUACCCAGACCCACUUCAUCCUUUGCUCUGUAAUCUGUGGAACUAAGUGAGACACUUAAGCCAAAAGGCUGCUCUAAGGGACGCUUCCUUUCCUACCUUGUUCUGUUGAACUGUAUGAUGACCAGCACAGGAGAAGAGCAGCACCGGCUUUCUCUAAGCUUCCUUGCAUCUGGGCUACUCCAGAGAGCACGCCUGUUCCCUGUGGGAGGUGCUCAGAGCAGGCACAGCUGUUCCCUGCCUCUUCUGCAUCGCCCUUCUUGCUAGCUCUCUGUUUUUUCUUCUUCUUUCCCGCACCCUGGGAGGCAGGAGACCCACCUGGUGGUGCUGGUGAGUAGGAGCAGGGCGGACGGGGCCGGGGCUGGGCAGGGCAGGCUUGCUGAGUUAGCUGGGCCCACCAUGCCCAGGUGCCUUCGCACGCAGGGCCUGGGACAUUGUGAGUGAUGGGCAGAGUGGAAUAAGCUGUUCUCAUAGGAGGACGAUGAGGGAACCCCAUGCCCAGCAGAGGAUGAGCUGACCAUGCAGGACAAUGGCUUCCUCAGCAAGAAUGAGGUACUGCGCAGCAAGGUGUCGAAGCUUACAGAGCGGCUCCGCAAGCGCUACCCGACCAACAACUUCGGGAACUGUGCAGGCUGUGCUGCCACCUUCUCCGUGCUGAAGAAGAGGCGAAGCUGCAGCAACUGUGGGAACAGCUUCUGCUCUCGGUGCUGCUCCUUCAAGGUGCCCAAGUCCUCCAUGGGGGCCACAGGUGAGGGGUGCAGGGAGUGGGUCAGGGAGGCUGCCUUGUGGGAAGGAGUGAGGAUGUCCCACACAGAGCAAGGCACUCCCCGAGGCUCCCCUCUCUCCUCCCAGAGGAGACCACCUGGUUGAAUCUUACUUCAUUACCUCUAACUU